RNAcentral lists this transfer RNA (76 nucleotides) under Thermoproteota archaeon. RNAcentral describes it as "tRNA-Cys". It matches the Rfam family "tRNA". Rfam says of the family: Transfer RNA (tRNA) molecules are approximately 80 nucleotides in length. Their secondary structure includes four short double-helical elements and three loops (D, anti-codon, and T loops). Further hydrogen bonds mediate the characteristic L-shaped molecular structure. tRNAs have two regions of fundamental functional importance: the anti-codon, which is responsible for specific mRNA codon recognition, and the 3' end, to which the tRNAs corresponding amino acid is attached (by aminoacyl-tRNA synthetases). tRNAs cope with the degeneracy of the genetic code in two manners: having more than one tRNA (with a specific anti-codon) for a particular amino acid; and 'wobble' base-pairing, i.e. permitting non-standard base-pairing at the 3rd anti-codon position. Lineage: Archaea; Thermoproteati; Thermoproteota. RNAcentral also lists the same sequence under 1 other name. The record is from RNAcentral.
GCUAGGGUGGCUGAGCGGUUUAGGCGACGGGCUGCAGACCCGUUUCACUGGGGUUCGAAUCCCUACCCUAGCUCCA